This 1341-nucleotide long non-coding RNA is filed under the name Oncorhynchus mykiss (rainbow trout). RNAcentral describes it as "lncRNA (ENSOMYG00000069180.1)". Lineage: Eukaryota; Metazoa; Chordata; Actinopteri; Salmoniformes; Salmonidae. The record is from RNAcentral.
CUCCCAGUCCCUUGGAGUUCAUCGGAUGGAUGAUGCGCCGCUGCCAUUUACUUGGAUGAGAAGUUGGACGAACGCUCCUCCAGCUCACGAUACGAAAUGGUGGGAACUACAGUGUGGUGAUGUGUCGUUCACGAACGAACGGCUCUUUUUGAACGGAUCUUUUUGUUGAACCUCGGGAACCGAAUUGCAUCGGUGAAAGAGCCAUUCCUCUGGCUCUAUGAUUUGCAAACUGCUACUACUGCUUGUUGAGAUCAGAACAACGUUUUUCUGUAGAUAAAUUACAACAUCAUUAUCUAAAGGGGUGAAUCCUCACUGCAGAAACAAUAAAUAGUGGGGAGAGAGUUGUGAUUGUAUGUUUGUUUGUACAGUUAUGGCUGUAAUGUUAUUAUUUUGUGUUCUCACUAAACACCCACAUUUGUAUUUGUGUGGGAAAUGUUUGUAGGCUUUGGUUGCUGUUUGUAUUUCAUUGAACUUUAGGCCCAUACAAAGACAAAUCACACAACAUAGAAUUCCAAAUAACCUUAGGCAAAAAUACACGAAAUAAAAGUCAAGUGAAAAUAGUUAUAAAUGACUUUAUCAAUUAUGAGUAGCUAAACAUUAUCGACUUUUGGACACUGAUGCGCAGGAGAACCCCUAGCUGUCAAUCAAGCAGGCGCGGUGAACGGAUUAUGACGCUCAAGCGUUCCAAAUGACGCAACAAUACAGCUCCAGACCAGAGAAAGUUAAUGCCGAGGAUAUUAUUCGGUUCAACACUAAAACUGAGGUUUGACACGUGUGAUUUGAGGCUAGAGCUUGAGGACUCAACUCUGAAGACUGUUUCUGAAUUCACUGACCUGGUGAGUAAAUGUUGUGUACAAUGGCAUCAUCUAGUGACAGAAACAUAGAAACACAGAUUGUUGCUAAAUGAAGGCAUCUCUUUAUUUUCCAGAAAUAAAACUUGUAGACCUUUCCUGCAGUCUCUGAGGAGAUGGACACCUCUUCUUCUUCUGGACGAUCUCCGUCUCCUACUGGGACUGUCUUCUUACCCCCUCCUAUCAUGUGGAACAGUCUGUAAGUCAUUCAUCACAUAACCUAGCUCUGGUCCAGGGCAUUAUGUGCGGCUUGCUGAAGGAAGGCUCAGUGUCUGCAAGCUGUACGUAACGCCCUGGACCAGAGUGACACAUUACCCACCUCUGGCCAUCAUGGACAGUCAACUCAUCACAUUCACGUACUGUAAGUCACAGUUGUGUGAUUUGUGUUAUUAAAGACAGUUAAAUUGAGCAGAAGUUGAAUUAUUAUUUUAAUAUUGUAGUAAAUUGUCUGAGUUCACUUCCUAAAUAAUGUGUUGACAUUCCUUUGCUC